ACGGGCCCGACUCCUACGGGAGGCAGCAGUAAGGAAUAUUGGUCAAUGGACGAAA
This 55-nucleotide ribosomal RNA is filed under the name uncultured bacterium. Its description in RNAcentral is "partial 16S ribosomal RNA". The record is from RNAcentral.